CUUUUUCAUUUUCAUUUCAUACUUUACUUCUACUUAGUGAUUUUUCUGCAGCAGUUUUCAGAACAAGCCCUAAAAGAGCGGGAGUAUACAGUGGAAUUUUCCAGAGACUCCAUUUUGUGUGACAUUGCAACAGAUUGAAGGCUGAGGCAGAUCUGAGAAUCCAGCUGUCUUCUACUAAGCCAGACAUUAAAGAGCUGAGGUGUUCUGGAUAUAAGCUCAGAGUCCCAGGUUGCAUCAGCCAAGUCCCGUCUUGUUGAUGUUGACAUGUGCGUGUGGCAUCUCGGAGCCUUCACCUGCUCAAGCUGCAGCCCAGGAUCCUAGGCUGGCCAUGCCCCUCAGUAUUUUAAUGGCCUUCAAUGGGUCUUACUUGAAUAACCCUAGUUGCCUCUAGGUUGUCACCUGUGCAUUCUGGCUAAGGCGUGUUCCCAGGUGAUUUUACCUGCAGGCAGCAGCCCUCAGGCUCCCUGCCUUUGUCCCUCUUGGCCUCUGUGGGGUGUGGAGGGUGUCUCCCAUCCUGGGAGGGGCCAUGGCCUUGUGGUGCCCUGUUCCUGCUCCUCUGACCUCUGCUCACUCUGCCCUCCCAGGUCAGGGCCCCUGCCAUGAACUGCUGCUCCACUGAUGCUAUUUUCAGGCUCUGUGUGGGCCCCAUGUUGUCCACUUCUUUAGCACCUGGGGCAGGACCAGCUCCCAGGACCUCCCCAUGCAUCUCUCUCCUAUGACAGAGCUGAGAAAAGCCUGCCUGGCCCACAUUCACCUCUCAGAGGGUAUAGAUUACUGGAACUGCAGAGUUACAUAAGACUCUUGGCGAGCCAAGGUGGGAAGGAGGUUCCUUGAACAGAGCAGCCGGUGAAGGGGGACUCCACCCUGCCUCCCCAGGGCCCGUGGGACUCCAGGCAGGGCUGCCCAGGAGGGUUCAGGGCCGACCUCCUGCUAUUGAUGCUUCUGCUUGCCCGCACAUGCCCUGUUGUUUCCUCUGCUCACCUGCCUUCUUCAGCCUCCUUCCCUACCACACAGCAGACAUGUUCCAAUGUGAUUGUGAGCCCAGUUGAAGUUCUUUCCUAUGAUUCGUCUGGGCCCUCAGAAAAAUCUAGAGAUGUGCCCAGACCCUGAACCCCACGAAAAGUGUUCCAGACUCUUCACGAGAGCGCCGAGCUUUGUCUGCCCAGAGCCCGCUGAGUGUUGGGGGCUGUCCAGCUCCACAGAUGGGCCUAUCUGUCCCUCAGCUUCAGCCAGAUACCAUAUCCAACUCCACACAUAUACAUUUUAAAAUUGAAGUAUAGUUCAGUCAAAUGCACAGAUCUUAAGUGUAGAGAUAGAUGAUUUUUGACAAAUAUUUAUGUAUCUGUGUAGCCAACUCCCCAAUCAAGAUAUAGAACAUUGUCAUCACUCUAGAAAAAUUCCUAUCAGCCCCUUUCCAGUGUAGGCAUCUCCCCCUGCCCCCAUCCUGCUCUCCAAGAAACCAUAUUCUGAUUUCUAUUCCAAAAGAUUAGCU
Physeter macrocephalus (sperm whale) is the source of this 1492-nucleotide long non-coding RNA. RefSeq lists it as uncharacterized. The record is from RefSeq and is a predicted model, not a curated record. The transcript is spliced from 3 exons. Lineage: Eukaryota; Metazoa; Chordata; Mammalia; Artiodactyla; Physeteridae.